UUCUUUCUCUUUCCUUCUUAUUCCGUUAAUUCCUUUCAAUCAUGAAGAGACUUGCUAGCUCAGAUUCAUUGGGUGCUAUGAUCUCCGUCUGCCCAUUUACAGAGGAGAUAGAAAACUCCCAU
Molecule: long non-coding RNA, 122 nt
Organism: Telopea speciosissima
Lineage: Eukaryota; Viridiplantae; Streptophyta; Magnoliopsida; Proteales; Proteaceae
Exons: 5
Source: RefSeq, a predicted model, not a curated record